UACGGAGGGUGCGAGCGUUGUCCGGAAUCAUUGGGCGUAAAGGGCGCGUAGGUGGCGGGACAAGCGUGCGGUGAAAGCUCGGGGCUCAACCCCGAGUCGGCCGUGCGAACUGUUUUGCUUGAGCACUGUAGAGGCAGGCGGAAUUCCGGGUGUAGCGGUGGAAUGCGUAGAGAUCCGGAAGAACACCGGUGGCGAAGGCGGCCUGCUGGGCAGUAGCUGACACUGAGGCGCGACAGCGUGGGGAGCAAACGGG
This 253-nucleotide ribosomal RNA is filed under the name uncultured bacterium. Its description in RNAcentral is "partial 16S ribosomal RNA". It matches the Rfam family "Bacterial small subunit ribosomal RNA", at positions 524 to 776 of the family's 1533-position model. The record is from RNAcentral.